UUUUAAUAUUAUUCUUUUAAAGAUUAGUUAUGGUUUUAAGAAAACAAAUAUACACAAAACAUAGCAAAAAUACAUUCAUAGGUUAUUCACUUGUGAUUGAUGUUUAAUGAUUAAUCCUUUGAUCAGAUGACACCGAUUAAUGUUUGAUUUGGGAUUAGUAAAUAGAUAAUUUAGACUUGAGCUAAAUUAUAUUUACAAAUUCCCAAAUCAUCAUUACAUCAACUCUAAAUAAACAUCUUCAACUGAGCAAGAAAAACAUUAGGCUUUUUAAAACUAAUUUCAAAUUAGUUACUGUUUUGGGAAAUACAAAAAAGCUAAGCAAGGAUAAGAAAUAUUUAAUUAUUAAAUGAUUAAUCAUUUUGAUGAUUAAUGUUUGAUUUGGGAGUAUAGUAAAUAGAUAAUUUAGACGAAGUGACUAAAUGAUAUUUACAUAUUCCCAAUAUCAGCAUUACAUCAAUUCUGAGUGUAAACAUCCCAAACUGAGCAUUUUAAAACUAAAAAAUGAUAAGACAUUAGCUAAAAUAACUCAAAAGCUGAAGCCUUGCUCAGUUGGAUCAAGGUUCAAAUAGAUGAAAGUCCAUUAAUUAUAGACCUGCAUCAAAUCGUAUCGAGCGCAUUGCAAAAAUCUUCCUUCAGCCACUUAUGCUGAGCGCUGCGGAAAAAAGAAGAUGAUCAAAAGAAAAGCUGAAGAAGGAAGAUAACAGAGUAACAGGAGGGAAUCAAGAUCAGAUCAUUCACAGGAGAAAGACGCCGUUGAUGCACUAGGUAAUGUAUCAUGAACAGUGUAUGCCUAGAGUAUUCAUAGUGUUGGCCUAGAGUUAAGACUACCCCCCCCCCCCCUUCUUUCAGAAGGUUUCCUGACGGGUAAUGUAUAAUGUGUAGCUGGUGUAACUUUAGUCUUGAUGAUGAAGACGCUUCCCUCGACGUCCCUGAUGAGUGACUGGAUGCCACUGGAUGCAACUGAAGACAGAUGUUUGCAGCAAAGGUCAAGUACAACAGGUGAAGUAUCAGGUACAAGUAUCAGGGUUAGAGGUAAACAAAAUAACCCACGUUUUCUCCACAGCUCUAACCUUUCUCCCACAGCUCUAACCAUUCACCCACAGCUCUAACCUUUCCUCCAAAACUCUCUUUCAUGCCACCAUUUUUUGUUUUUUUUCCCUGUCUCUAACACAGUCUUCCCAAGGAGUAUGAUGAGAUGAGGUCAGUUGUGUCAGCUGAGGUCAGGUGUUUAAGCAGAGGUAAAGUAAAAUCGGUAAAGUGUGAGGGCAAUGUGAAAGAAAAAUCUUACCCUUCACUUUAUUGCAAAACUGGAUGAUGUUGCAAGCCUGCCAUUAUGGCAGCUCUUUGACUCUGGAUGGCAUUGUUUUGGUAAAGUAUUGGGGUUACUUCAGGAACUUACUUGUUGAACUUAUAUGUUUUAUUUGGUGUGACCCCAAAAUGCUAACCUUUCUAGAUAUUAGUUGUUUUCCCAACAGCAGAUGUUUUUUUAAUUGAAGAUGAUGAAGUUGUUUGUGAGCUAAAAUCUUCACUGAGCUGAGGUGUUGGCUACACCUGCAGAGACAUGGGGUCAUGGAAAAUAUUUGGUAAUGUAUUGAUAAGAAGUAACUUAUUUUUGGAGGAUUAUGAACAAGUCUAAAAAAGUUCAUCGAUUUGGGGGAAAAAAACACACACAAAAAUCAGAUUUUGUGUCUCUCAUCAACCAAAUCUCUUUAUUAUCAAAACCAGCAGUCAAAAUUUUAGUAUUCUUUUUAAAUUAUGCAUGAACAACCAGCCAACCAACGAUGUAAAGUAACUUAGGAACCAUUCACUUUCUAUAGCAACAUUGUUCGCAAAAUCAAAACAAGCACAAAUCUGUCUUGUGGCUCCUCUUUGACGCAUCAAAAAGAUGUGUAAAUGCAUUGAUAUAAAUUUGUCUUAAUUACUCUAAAUUAUCCUCAGUUCAGCUGUGUCUUGUGGAAUGGUGAUCAACAACUGGACCUGUUUGGAUGAGCAACGUUGGAGAAGAAGGUUCAAAUAUCAGACAUUAGUCUGCUUGGUUAAGUAUAAACAACAUUAUAGAUCUAAAACUUUUCUACAAAAAAAAAGUUCAACCUGCAAACUUAGCAAAAUUUAGUUUAAGUUUUAGAAUCAGCAAUUUAAGUUUUCGCAGAUUUUGUAAAAAAAAAAAUUCUUGCCUAUUCUUAGUUAAUAGCAAUAAACACACCAUCCUACAACCCACUUUAUCAAGUUUUUAAGGAAAGUUUUUAAAAAGACAAUAAAGAAAACCUCAUGCUUAAAGGAAAACUGCUUAAACUAAAGAAAUUUGGAGGAUGAUGAUUAAAUCUUGUACCAUUCAAUCGAUAACUUUGAAAGAAAAAAUCCAUUCAUGAAUCUUUCAAACUUAUCUCCAAAUUAAUGUUAAAGAUAGUUAUAAACCAUGCAGCUGUCAAAUACUCUAUAGUAUCAUUUGAGACAACCAACAACAAACAACAAUCAUUCUACAACAACCAACUAACAAUGGAGAUAAAACAGCUGAGACUCGGUUAACUUGCUUUAACAGUGUUUGUAAAAUCCAAACAAACUGAUCAAAAUCCUUUCUGAAACAAUGGAAGUAGUUUUUUUUUUUCAAUUAUACCAAAAAUACGUGUACAUGCCUAAAGAUAAAUUUGUCUGUGCCUAAAAAAUUUCCCCUCAGCUCACCUGUAUCUUGUGGAGUGUGACGACUAUACGACUGGACCUGUUUGGAUGAGCAUUGUUGGAGGAUACAGGGAGUGGUGACUACAACUGGACCUGUUUGGAUGAACAUCGGAUGAUAUAGCUGUCUCUUGUGGAGUGGUGACUCACGUUGCCCUAUAGUGGAUAGGCAUCAUUAGAGGCUACAAGGAGAUGUUAGGAGAUGUGAAUACCAGACCUGUUUGAACAGGUGCAAAAAGUAAACUGGACCACGUGAUGAUAUUGGAGAAGACAUACGCCAAGAGACUAAACAACGCUUUUUGGACUGUGUAACACCAGCUGAAGGACUGAGCUAGUCUAGCCAGAUGACUCUCUGUAGUAAAGUACAACUCAACUGUUCAAGUGACGUAGUGAUGCUGAGCCUAAAUAACUUUGCUUUUUGGAACUUAUGUCACCUACUGAUGGAAAACUGUGCCAAGUUUAGCCAGAUGACUCUCAGCUCCAAGUCCAACCGUUGAAGUGAUUAUGCAGGGAUGUUGAGGUUAAAGACCAAUGCUUCUUGAACUGUGUGCCACCAGCUGAGUGGACUUCAUCAAGUCUAAUUGGAUGAUUUCAACUGCUUGUGUUGCAGGGAUAUUGAGUUCAUCCAACGCUUUUUGAACUGUGCCACCACCUGAGAUCGAGACUAGCUCUUUUCAGAGCUUAUCACUACCAGUUCAAAUGUGACGUAGUGAUGAUGAUGCUACAUUUUAUAACAACGCUUGUUUUACUGUCACCAACUGAACAAAUCCAGCCGAUAUGAGUCGCCAUAUUUUCAACUGAAACAAGACACUCAUUGAGG
Molecule: long non-coding RNA, 3493 nt
Organism: Asterias rubens (European starfish)
Lineage: Eukaryota; Metazoa; Echinodermata; Asteroidea; Forcipulatida; Asteriidae
Exons: 3
Source: RefSeq, a predicted model, not a curated record